This 814-nucleotide ribosomal RNA is filed under the name uncultured bacterium. RNAcentral describes it as "bacterial SSU rRNA". It matches the Rfam family "Bacterial small subunit ribosomal RNA", at positions 8 to 796 of the family's 1533-position model. The record is from RNAcentral.
AGAGUUUGAUCCUGGCUCAGAACGAACGCUGGCGGCGUGCUUAACACAUGCAAGUCGAACGCGAAAGAGGUCUUCGGACCUUGAGUAGAGUGGCGCACGGGUGAGUAACGCGUAGGUAAUCUACCCCUUUAUCWGGAAUAACUCGUCGAAAGGCGAGCUAAUACCGGAUAUUCUCAGAUUUAUGCGAAUAGGUAUGAGGAAAGGUGACGAUCCGCAAGGAGUUACCGUAGAGGGAUGAGCCUGCGUCCCAUUAGCUAGUUGGUGGGGUAAAGGCCCACCAAGGCAACGAUGGGUAGCGGGUCUGAGAGGAUGAUCCGCCACACUGGAACUGGAACACGGACCAGACUCCUACGGGAGGCAGCAGUGAGGAAUUUUGCGCAAUGGGGGCAACCCUGACGCAGCGACGCCGCGUGGGUGAUGAAGGCUUUCGGGUCGUAAAGCCCUGUCAAGUGGAAAGAAAGGCYGRCGGAAUAACAAGACGUCRGAUUGACGGUACCACUAAAGGAAGCACCGGCUAACUCUGUGCCAGCAGCCGCGGUAAUACAGAGGGUGCGAGCGUUGUUCGGAAUUACUGGGCGUAAAGGGCGCGUAGGCGGCUUUAUAAGUCAGAUGUGAAAGCCCCCGGCUUAACUGGGGAAGUGCAUCUGAAACUGUGAGGCUUGAGUAUGGGAGAGGAAAGUGGAAUUCCCGGUGUAGAGGUGAAAUUCGUAGAUAUCGGGAGGAACACCUGUGGCGAAAGCGACUUUCUGGACCAAUACUGACGCUGAGGCGCGAAAGCGUGGGGAGCAAACAGGAUUAGAUACCCUGGUAGUCC